Molecule: ribosomal RNA, 423 nt
Filed under: uncultured bacterium
Lineage: Bacteria
Description: bacterial SSU rRNA
Rfam family: Bacterial small subunit ribosomal RNA
Source: RNAcentral
GGGAAUCUUCCGCAAUGGACGAAAGUCUGACGGAGCAACGCCGCGUGAGUGAAGACGGCCUUCGGGUUGUAAAGCUCUGUGAUCCGGGACGAAAGAGCCUUGGGUAAAUAGCCUAAGGAAGUGACGGUACCGGAAAAGCAAGCCACGGCUAACUACGUGCCAGCAGCCGCGGUAAUACGUAGGUGGCAAGCGUUGUCCGGAAUUAUUGGGCGUAAAGCGCGCGCAGGCGGCUUCCUAAGUCCAUCUUAAAAGUGCGGGGCUUAACCCCGUGAUGGGAUGGAAACUGGGAAGCUGGAGUAUCGGAGAGGAAAGUGGAAUUCCUAGUGUAGCGGUGAAAUGCGUAGAGAUUAGGAAGAACACCGGUGGCGAAGGCGACUUUCUGGACGAAAACUGACGCUGAGGCGCGAAAGCGUGGGGAGCAAA